ACACUCCUACGGGAGGCAGCAGUGGGGAAUAUUGGACAAUGGGCGCAAGCCUGAUCCAGCCAUGCCGCGUGAGUGAUGAAGGCCCUAGGGUUGUAAAGCUCUUUCACCGGAGAAGAUAAUGACGGUAUCCGGAGAAGAAGCCCCGGCUAACUUCGUGCCAGCAGCCGCGGUAAUACGAAGGGGGCUAGCGUUGUUCGGAAUUACUGGGCGUAAAGCGCACGUAGGCGGAUCGAUCAGUCAGGGGUGAAAUCCCAGGGCUCAACCCUGGAACUGCCUUUGAUACUGUCGAUCUGGAGUAUGGAAGAGGUGAGUGGAAUUCCGAGUGUAGAGGUGAAAUUCGUAGAUAUUCGGAGGAACACCAGUGGCGAAGGCGGCUCACUGGUCCAUUACUGACGCUGAGGUGCGAAAGCGUGGGGAGCAAACAGGAUUAGAAACCCGGGUAGUCCCA
This 448-nucleotide ribosomal RNA is filed under the name uncultured organism. RNAcentral describes it as "partial 16S ribosomal RNA". It matches the Rfam family "Bacterial small subunit ribosomal RNA", at positions 333 to 797 of the family's 1533-position model. The record is from RNAcentral.